CAGCAGUUCAAGUUGCAUCCCUUUUUAUUGGGUCUAAAACAUCCGUAGCUUGCCGUUUAAGUCCUUUGUGAAAUCUCGUGUCUCAAGCACGAGGCUUGCAGAGGAUACUGAGCGGCUAGAGAUCGGUAGACGUAAGCAGUACGCCGGGGGUAAUGGUAAAAUAUGUUAAUCCUCGGUGGACUAACAAUGAGCGAAGGCAGCUUACGAGGACGAAUCUGACAGUGAGGGAUGAAAGCUGGGGGAGCAAACCGGAUUAGAUACCCGAGUAGUCC
This 272-nucleotide ribosomal RNA is filed under the name uncultured archaeon. RNAcentral's name for it is "partial 16S ribosomal RNA". It matches the Rfam family "Archaeal small subunit ribosomal RNA", at positions 477 to 747 of the family's 1478-position model. The record is from RNAcentral.